Non-coding RNA from Coturnix japonica (Japanese quail), 5204 nucleotides. Lineage: Eukaryota; Metazoa; Chordata; Aves; Galliformes; Phasianidae. The record is from RefSeq and is a predicted model, not a curated record.
UAAAACCUACUGCCAACAUCUGUAUGCAUGAUAUUGUGAUUAAGGAUAACAGUGAAGGUAACGUAUGAGUUACCUGUUUAGUUGAAGCUGCAUCUCUACACUUGGCCUUCAGCCUGGGUUUUUCUGCCUCCAUCUGCUGCAGUUGUGCAGCUGCAGUCCUGGAGCAGCAGCAUUCAGCACUUCUCCAAGCAGUGCUUCCUACCCUGUAAGCAGGUUGUCUGAAGGCAGCUUGGUUUAGCAAUAAGGGCGCCCAAUGUCAAUGAGAUGGGUUCAAGUGCUUCUUAAGAGUCAUAGGGCCUUAAACUCAUCAAGUGUAAGCUGAGCUGAAACUACAUCUGUUAGCUGCUCUCUGCACUCUGGAGAGCUUCCAUUGGUGAUAUCCAUCCUUUAUGAGCCUGGGAAGGAUUAUGGCUCUGAAGUGGCGACAGCUCUUUCAGGUUAGAGGCAGCAGUUGCCCCUCGUGGGGCAGGAUGCCAGUCUGCCUUCAAAAACUGUUCAUUCCUGGUGCCAGCGUGCCUGUGGGGAGCUUUGGAUUGCUGGCUUCCAGAUAUCUGUGCUUUAAUGAGGUUGUUAAGCUUAAUCUUUCUAUUCAACUCUGAAGUGUCUGAACUGUCCGGGCAGCGAUCAGAAUUCCCUUGUUCUGUAGUGGCUGCAAAUAAAUGCGUAUUCACAGUAUUUAGAUCUCCUUGGGUUAUGUCCGACUAAUACCCACCUGUGCUUGCCAAAUCCCAAGCAUUUGGCUUCAAACCCUGCAUUCAGAGGGAGCUCCAGGCCUGUUUAACCUGCGGUGAUGCCAUAAUGCCAACCCCAAGGAACCAGCUCCAGCCUCAGGUGUGCAUCUGGGGAUACUUCUCUGGAGCUGCAGGGAGAUGAUGCUCCUGGUGAUGGCUGCUCUAUGGGAUCAGAGGGGGGGUAAAGUCAUUUUACACACACAAGUGUUACAACUAAUCCAAGCUGUGUCAUUGCAGUGUGGUUCACUCAGGCGACCUCUCAUCUUUCUAUGCUACUGUUGCCUUUUUAAAGUGUUUUUUUGUUUUUAAAGCUUUUUGUGUUCAUUUGGGCUAUCAGAAGCAGCCCUUGCUGGGCACUGACUUGCAGGGUUGGGGGCAUUUGACCUCUGGUGAAAGCUUUGGUGUUUGUGGCACUUUCUAAAUGGAAGGUGCAAUCAAUUGCUGUUUGUAAAUAAGCCAACAAGUAAUUACUUGUUUAUAUAAAACCUGUGGGAAUCAUUAGCUUAGAGGCAGAGAUAAGGCAUUUUCAUCCCCUGGUAAACCAUAGCCUUGCUGACAGGGAGAUGCUGGCAUUUCAGGGCAGCUGGGCACAAACCUCCUCUUAUAUUCAGCCUUUUUCUUACUUCUAGAAUAGGCUUCCCUCCCAUGCUUGUCACUCUGGCCAAGAGGACUUAAAAUCCAUGGGAGGAUGGUAAAUGUUGGCCUGGAGUGUGUUUAAUAGACAUUUUAAUUCUUGCCCCUCUUCCCAAAAUAGGGAACUAGUGGAUUUCUUUUCCUAAUGUACAGGUUGAGAGCAGGUCAUUGCAGCCUGGCAGGGUCUAGCCGGGCUUGCUAGAGUGACUCGUCAAAUUUAUGCCCUUAACAAACAAAACCUUUGGAGCUGCCCAGCAGUGCAGGGAGGGGUUCAGCAGGAGGAACUGAAAGCAGCGGGGCUGAGCAGAAACAGAUGCGGGAGAUGCUGUUGCAUCCACUGUGAGCUGGCAAUUAAAAGCCGCUCGGGUGCGAGGUGAAACAGCCCCCUCCGAGAUCGCUGCAGGGGUGGCCAUGCAGGCUGGGGAAGCGGGGAAGCCUUCCGCCCCCCGACGGGGCGGGCAGUGGGGCUGGAGCGGUGUGACCCACAGCCGGGAGGGGGGGAGAGGCUUCCGUGGGACUUGUCUGGGCUUGUUCAAGCUUCUGCCCGGCCCUGAACAGCUCUUAUCGGCUGCGGAUGGAUGCAGCCCCGGGCCGGCAUUGCGCCCUGCGAGCCCCCGCUGCGUCCUGCCUGCUGCGCCCAGGUGCGUGUUUGCGUGCGGUGCCUGCUGCUGGCAGCCUAUUUCCAGCGAUGCUGCUGGCUCUAUAGGCUGUUCUCCUAGACAUUUUAUAAUUUAAAGGGUAACGUGGGCAAGGAGAGCUCUAUUGUGUGCUGUUCUAUCCUUCUAUUGAGCAGGAGAGAGCACCUUAGCUAUACCUGCCCGUGGGUGCCCUCUGUGUUGCUCACCUGCUCAGGUGUCUGUGCAGACUGCCCGGUGGUAUUGUGUGGUAUCCAGGCAGCUAUUAGAUUACAUGGGAGGUGAAGGCUUGCUGGUUCAGAUGAGAAUUGAAGACACAAGGAGUCGCUUCAGAUCAGAGACAGCCCGUGACUCACUGUGAAGGCAUUGCCCCAUGUUCCUACAGCCUUGAGGCUGGCCUGCAGGACUGGUGGCAGAAGGUGGGGUGGAGUUGAGUUGCAGCUCUAUCAAGAAAGCCGGAACUGCCUGAGUUAGCAGUGACUCUGAAUAACCAAGCAGGUGUCUGCACCUCCCUGGAGCACCGUCCCAGCGCUGGCAGCAGGAGGCUGGAGUCAGAAUGGAGCUCCAAUGGACCUGGGGUGCUGCUGCCUGCAGGAUCACCUCCUACAGAAUGUUCUUCCAGCUCCGGACUAGCCAGACUGCUUGGUUUCCCUGUGAGACUUGAAAGCUUGCUGCCCAUGCCCUCCCACAGCAGCAGACAGUUUCAGCUGGGUGUUUCAUUUGUGCUUUUCCUAAAGCAGUGAAACUCCUACAGGGUGAAAAGGCUUACAAUCAAGAAGUGAUUAGUUAAUUAAUCGCUGCUGUCUUCUGGGACACAGGGAAUGGAGCCAUUGUUCUGUUAUCGAAGUGCCUGUGUCACACAAGGCUCCCUAGGAGCAAUAACCUGCUUGUGAGGCUGUGAUGCAAGAGUUGAGGAACUGCUUUGCCCUGAAGGUUGCCUUCUCACAUGUUCAGAUGUUUCCAGGAACUGAGGAGUGCAGGACUGCUGGAUAACACCACAUCUAGAGCACCUCAGGCUGUUCGACAUGGAUAAUAGGAAACUCAAAUGGCUUUAAUGCAUACUCUUCCCUUCUGUGAAUGAGAAGAAAGGAGAAGACUGAACAUCCUGCUCUCACUUCUCUUCUUGCGUGAUGCCAGCUACAUGAACAUAAUUGCACCAAUUACAGGGAGUUGUGCAACUUUACGAACUGUCUAUAAAAGUUCUGCACUUAGAAGAUGGGUGGCCAGAAGGGAGCAGAGUAUCCUUCUGUUGCAACUCUUCUGAAGCUUCAUCUCUACCUUUGCAGGGUGUUUGUCAUGAAGCAAAUGUUUGGAGUUAGUACACCAGCUUUCAUUGACUGACUAUUACUUUUGAUGGUGUUUUAGCUUUAGGUUUAUUCUUCAUUGAACAAAGAUAGCAGUCAGUCCCACGCUUUCUGGGGAGAAGCAGGAUGUGGUUCUGCUUUUUAACUUUACUGCAUUAUAGGUAAUAAAUGGCUUUAAAAAAUCACUGCACUGCAGAGUGCCUCUCUGUAUUCUCUGUAAGUGCCUUUUAUAGUGCUCUUGGCCAAAACAAUGCUACUCUGUAUGAUAUACAGACUGGAACGUGGCAGAGUGAUGGACAAACACAUGGAGCUCAACCUGUCUCACUUACUCUGUAAUUCCUGAGCAACUUUGUGUUAAUACAGUUAGAAGGUUUGAGUUACAGUAUAUAACAGUGCUUUGAUCCUUAACUUUGGUGUGGUAGUGUUCGAACCAGGAUGGAUAGUAGUGUCUGUGUCUGACACAUUGCAGAUGUCAUUGCAAAUUAUAUUCUAUAUGCUCUCUGCUACCUUGGGAAGAAACCCAUGAUGCAAACAGCACUGAAAGCUGUGUGUCAUUGAUGUGAUGUGGUUGAUCCCCUAGUUAGACAGAUAGUAAUAGUUGCCCACAAGUCUGGGACCUGAGCAGUCAGCACCUGCACAUGGUGAGGAUCUGCACAUGGUUUAAAUGCAAACAUUUAGGCUUGGCUCACUGAAGGUGAGGAGUGUGGCCUGGUGCUUUACUGCACAUUUCCAGAAUCUGAAGGUGACCCUGAACUGUAGUGGUUGAGUGGCCUCGUGUUAAUGAAAGAACUGAACUCCUGAGCUCUGUUUUACACCAUUUCCCCUUUGCAGAAUUGUCUCUUUGCUGCUUUGUACUUCAAACAACUUGUGUGAAGAUUUGAACGAGGCUUCUGGCACAGGGACCAGAGAAGCUGGCAAACCUCGUGACUUCCACUUGAGGAGGCUUCUUAUUAGCUUUUAUAUCCUUGUCUCAUCUGUGUUAUAACUACAGGCUCUGGGCAGAGCUUUCUCUCACAUGAUACUGUGUGUACUUCUAAUUCAAUCUAUGGUAAAGAUUGCACCCCCAUAAUACAAGUGUUUAGUCUAUUUUCUUGUUGCUAUUGUUGUCUUCUAAGAAAAACAUAUAGACAACAACUCUUACAUCUGAAAUAUGGUGUUUUCUUUUGACAUACUGUUGGACUGUAAAUGCCUUUAUUUUUGUGCAGCCGCAGCAAGCGGGGACAUCCCAUAUUAAUCUCCUAAUUUAAAUUGGAAAUGAAAACCUGCCAUAACACUGGGGCCAUCCUUAAUUCAUUGAUUGUGCUGGCUGCAUUCCAGCAGUGUAGCUAAUUACAUUCUGCCCACAUCAAACCGUCCUUGCUGUGGUGGCUUUAUUUUUUGUCAGUUGCUGGCUUGAAUUUUUGUGUAGUCUCUGCAGCCUGACUUCACAUUUCCAGUGCUAAUGGAAAGCUGCUUACAAUGACUAAGCAGCUCUCCCUGAUGAAAGGGAAGCCCUUGGGUUGCUGGGCAGAGCCAGCACAGAGCUGUAUGUAAUCUGUAUGUAAUAUGUAUUCUGUGUCAUUCUACAUGGAUUGCAAUCCUGGUUCCAGCAGAACUGUUCUGUAUAUAACAGCCUCCCACUGUGCCCAGUUCCCAGCAUGACCUUAUGCAUGUGAACGCAGAGCUGUUUGACCUCAGUAUUUGCCAAGGAAAACCCUUCAAAUCUCCGAAAGCUGCUUUUUCUUCUGCCAAGAAGAGCUGCACGAGAGCUGCCUGCACUAUCUGCACCUGUUUGGCUGUGCCUUGUUGCUGGGGAGUCCCCCUUGCCAUUACGAUUGUGGCUGUGGCUCUGAAAAAGAUUGGCUACGAUGCCUCCAAUGUUUCCGUGGGCUGGUGCUGGGUCAACUUGGAUGCAGAGGAUC